AGUGAAUAUGGGUGUAAGUUGGAUUACUAGAACUAUUUGAGUCUAUUUACUUCGUAUUUCUGCUUUCCUAAUCGUAAUUGAUUAUUGUACACUCAUUCAACUUGAACGCAUAGAAAUUCACAGACACUCAGAUAUCUCGCUUUCACCCAAAGUGUAAUUUCCCUUUAAGGACCCUCGCGUCAGACGUUUUUUUGCUGACGUCAUGACGCACGAGCCUGUCUGGAACUUUCUGCUCGACCGCCAUUUUCUUUUUCGCACUCGGAUGAAUAAGCUUUUUCAAGUUUGACGAUUGAGGACGACACUUUGCUAUAACAUUACAUGACUGAAAACAUUCACACGGAAAGAAGAGUGUCCUGAAGGCCCUCAUCGUUUUCCUGGGGAAAAUCCGGU
Pimephales promelas (fathead minnow) is the source of this 390-nucleotide long non-coding RNA. RefSeq lists it as uncharacterized. NCBI's taxonomy places the organism in Eukaryota, Metazoa, Chordata, Actinopteri, Cypriniformes, Leuciscidae. The record is from RefSeq and is a predicted model, not a curated record.